Molecule: long non-coding RNA, 675 nt
Organism: Nycticebus coucang (slow loris)
Lineage: Eukaryota; Metazoa; Chordata; Mammalia; Primates; Lorisidae
Exons: 4
Source: RefSeq, a predicted model, not a curated record
CUGCUUGGUUUUGGUGCUGCUGAAGCUGCACUCUCCUGACCUGAGGGCCCCAUGCAGCGUGCUUGUGGCUGUGGUCACUGACCCUGCGCUGUGAGCACUCCGUGAGUGAGGAGUCUUGUAUCUUCCUCAGCCCUGACAUUCCCUUGGUGACCCAGCAACUCAACAGGUGAACCCAGCAGUUUCCUGGUCAGGAGAGCUCAGCAAGCAGAGCCCCAGGCAACCCACUGCCCACAGAAGAGGAGAGAGAAGUUCUGAGUGGACCCCAGCAUGUGCUCCCAGCCCCUGAAAGGAGUGGGGAGAUGUUCCUUCUUCCCCCCGAAGACCUGAGCUUCCCUCUGAUGGUGCUGUGUCCCUCCCUGAACCAUGCCUGUGACAGGAGAAGUCACUCCAGUCCUGGCCAGGUUCCCCAUCAUGCAGGAUCCCCAGGUGAGCACCCCUGACACCUCAGCAAACUCGGAAGCCCAGCCCCUGGGCUUCAGCACAUCCACAAUCAACCUGAGUGCCCGGCGUUUUGGAGGUGGCGUUUGGAGGUGCGGAGGUUGAAAGGUACCAAGGACAUAACCAAAACAUUUGAGCAUGGCAGGCUCAGGUCCUUGACAAAAUGCUCUGUGCAAAAUUAAAUCCAGUUAAAGGAGAAAUUGCCUUACUUGAUUAAAGAAAACGUCAGUGUGUAAG